GCUCGUAGUUGGAUUUCGGGUGGGUGUUAGCGGUCCGGCUCUGCUGUGUACUGCUAGUGCCUAUCUUUCUGUCGGGGACGGGCUCUUGGGCUUCAUUGUCCGGGACUCGGAGUCGACGUGGUUACUUUGAGUAAAUUAGAGUGUUCAAAGCAAGCGUUCGCUGUGAAUACAUUAGCAUGGAAUAACACGAUAGGACUCUGGCUUAUCUUGUUGGUCUGUAAGACCGGAGUAAUGAUUAAGAGGGACAGUCGGGGGCAUUCGUAUUUCAUUGUCAGAGGUGAAAUUCUUGGAUUUAUGAAAGACGAACUUCUGCGAAAGCAUUUGCCAAGGAUGUUUUCAUUAAUCAAGAACGAAAGUUGGGGGCUCGAAGACGAUUAGAUACCGUCGUAGUCUCAACCAUAAACGAUGCCGACUAGGGAUUGGCAGGUGUUUCGUUGAUGACCCUGCCAGCACCUUAUGAGAAAUCAAAGUUUUUGGGUUCCGGGGGGAGUAUGGUCG
Molecule: ribosomal RNA, 498 nt
Filed under: Chlamydomonas sp. RCC5409
Lineage: Eukaryota; Viridiplantae; Chlorophyta; Chlorophyceae; Chlamydomonadales; Chlamydomonadaceae
Description: SSU rRNA
Rfam family: Eukaryotic small subunit ribosomal RNA
Source: RNAcentral